Cucumis sativus (cucumber) is the source of this 344-nucleotide long non-coding RNA. RefSeq lists it as uncharacterized. The transcript has 3 exons. The record is from RefSeq and is a predicted model, not a curated record. Lineage: Eukaryota; Viridiplantae; Streptophyta; Magnoliopsida; Cucurbitales; Cucurbitaceae.
CUGAAUUGUUUGGUUAUUUGUUGCACCGAUCCGUCUCCGUUAGAAUUUGAUUCUCCACAAUUUGGGUCGGUUCGUUGCACUUUAGUUUGAAAAAGAAGCUUAAGUAAGGUUAUAAGGCAAAGGUAACAAAUGAGGUAGACCGACGAGGGACAAGAAGGAGACGUGAUUGCCAUAAGGGAAGGUCCUUCAAAUGCUUCCGCUUUAUGUUUCUUGUUUUUCCUUUGUACAUGAGGUUGUUUAAAAAUUUUGUGAUGGAACUGAGUUUACAAACUGUUGUUUUGUGAAUAGUACUUUUAAAGUUUUGGUUAUUUGAAAUAGGGCCCAAACUUAAGUUUGUUUUCUUU